ACACCGGCAGCUCAAGUGGUGGCCAUUUUUAUUGGGCCUAAAGCGUUCGUAGCCGGCUUGAUAAGUCUCUGGUGAAAUCCCAUAGCUUAACUGUGGGAAUUGCUGGAGAUACUAUUAGGCUUGAGGCCGGGAGAGGUUAGGGGUACUCCCAGGGUAGGGGUGAAAUCCUAUAAUCCUGGGAGGACCACCUGUGGCGAAGGCGCCUAACUGGUCCAUUACUGACGCUGAGGUGCGAAAGCGUGGGGAGC
This 248-nucleotide ribosomal RNA is filed under the name uncultured bacterium. RNAcentral describes it as "partial 16S ribosomal RNA". It matches the Rfam family "Archaeal small subunit ribosomal RNA", at positions 473 to 720 of the family's 1478-position model. The record is from RNAcentral.